CUGACCGUGCAAAGGUAGCGUAAUCACUUGUCUUAUAAUUGAAGACUGGAAUGAAUGGUUUGACAAGAAUACUUCUGUCUCUUUAUAAUUUUAUAGAACUUAAUUUUUAGGUGAAGAAGCCUAAGUAAAAUUGAAAGACAAGAAGACCCUAUCGAGCUUUAAGUAAAUUAGUAACCUAAGAAUAAUAUGAGAUAGAGAUAUAAGUUACUAAAAAAUUUUGGUUGGGGCGACAAAGGAACAUAAAAAGCUUCCUUUAUUUAGUUGUAUAUUUUCAAAUCUGGAUCCAAAUUUUUGUUGAUUAGAGAAAAUAGUUACCGUAGGGAUAACAGCAUAAUCUUUUUUGAGAGCUCAUAUUGAAAAAAAGGUUUGUGACCUCGAUGUUGGAUCAGAAUACCCUAAAGAUGCAGAAGUCUUUAAGGUUGGUC
Molecule: ribosomal RNA, 425 nt
Filed under: Melo melo
Lineage: Eukaryota; Metazoa; Mollusca; Gastropoda; Neogastropoda; Volutidae
Description: partial 16S ribosomal RNA
Rfam family: Archaeal large subunit ribosomal RNA
Source: RNAcentral